AACGCACCUUGCACCCUUUGGUAUUCCAAAGGGUAUGCUCGUUUGAGUGUCAUUGUACUCUCGCACUUCUCUGAUUGAGAAAUGGUGGACUUGGGUGUUGCCGCUUUACUGUCAGGCUCAUCUGAAAUUGCUUAGUGCAACUCUGGUUUGGACAUAGUAAUUGUUUUAGUACUCCUACUACUACUACACUUACCACACAGCGUGAUAAGUAUCUUCGUUGUUGUGCCUCUCGGAGGGUGUCUAAUGAAGGAGCUCUGCGCUUCAAACCGUCUUCGGACACUAUCUGACAAAUUGACCUCAAAUCGAGUAGGAUUACCCGCUGAACUUAA
This 329-nucleotide unclassified non-coding RNA is filed under the name uncultured Sebacinales. RNAcentral's name for it is "sequence contains 5.8S rRNA gene, ITS2, 28S rRNA gene". Lineage: Eukaryota; Fungi; Basidiomycota; Agaricomycetes; Sebacinales. The record is from RNAcentral.